GUCCAGCCAGCCUUGCGCCUGCGAGCGGGCCCGUGAGGGUUGCUCGGAGCUGCUGACGGAUCUCGGGGACCGCAGCGCCCGGACGCCGGACACACUCUCCGGCCCGAGGACAAGGUUUGGGGGACAAGCAUGCAUUUUCGCACACUGGACUUUUUCUUACCGUUUUGCAAGUAUUAGUGGUUUCCUGCAAGACGCACCUUCCCGAAAUAGUGCGGUGCUUUAGCGUGACGUUCCUCCCGUGCCAAGCGAUGUAUUAAACUUGGACCUUCUAAGCUACCCCGUUCUUGAUCGCGCCAAGCUCUUCAUAGGCUCGUUAUACCGUGGCUCGUUAGCAGACAAACAAACAGCUAUCCUAAUUCCUUUAAGGAAAACUGGCCCGCGCAGACUCCCCAGAUGUCAAUUCGAAGAAUGUCGACCACCUUUUAGGGUUCCUAGGGGAAGACUUUGAAGCUCAAGUUGCAAGCUUGGGAGAAAUACUUUCCUUAGAGACGUGUGGGUGCAAGCUUUGCCAGGUCACGAGCAACACAAAGGACGCCUCCGGAGCCACGUCUUAAUUUCCUGUUGAAUGAUAGGUGCCAGUACGGUUUUGAACCAGAAAUGAAAAUCGACUCAGAUGAAAACUUCAAGUUUUAGAAUGCAGAUUAGUCAGAAAACAAACAGAAUCUGGAAACGAUGCCUCUUCUGUUACCAACGUACGUGCUCCCAGACCUAAAUUCUGUGUCAGGUCCUAACCCCGGGUGGUCACAGCGACAGUCGUCGUGGGCCCGUGAAUCAAGCGCACUGAAGAAGCUGGACAGUUCCUGCUCAUGGGCCUUUCUCUCCUGUGGCUAAUGUCCUCUGAGCUAAAAUCAGCUCCUCUCUUUGGAAAACCUUGCAACAGAAGGAGGAUGGACCCCACCCAGAAACUGGUUCUGAUGUUGAGACGGAUGACACCACCAUCACGCCAAGGUGAACUUGGACGGAAGCAUCUGCACCAAUCCAUAGAGUGGGGACCACCCUGCCAGCCGUGGGCUCAGGCGCCAGGCCCCAGCCAUGAAAGUUCUUGCCUCCAAGCACCUGUCAUCCAGGUGGGGAGGGAAAGUGGAGACGGAUGACUGAUCUUCUCCUCUGGGCCAGACGGGAAUCCAGGAAGCGACUUCCUUCCUGUCCUCCACCGCCCGGCUCCUUCUUCUAGUCCGAGUUGUGCUUACUCUUUUUGUCACCCUCUUAUGUGUGUCUUAAGCACAUAUAUCUCCAUUUUUUCCUCUUUAAAUUUUUUAUGUUAACACAAAUGUUGCCACCUCCUUCCCCCAGUUCUCUGCCCAGCCAGUCAAUGGUUUUGAAUCCCUGAUGCGUCCAUUUCUGCUCGCUAGUUAUUCUUCAUGGAAACGGUAUGAACAGAUCAGUAAAAGUCACAGCAGCGUUUUGUUCAAUUCAUCAUAACAAGUUACACUGGCCAUGUUUCAUAGCUUAGUGAUAGAACAUUUUGGUUGUGGAGUUUCUCCGGAGCUCUCCCAUACCUUUUUUCAUAUAUUUAAAAUUCCUAAUCAACUAUACCUCAAUAAAAUUAAAAAAAAAUA
This is a non-coding RNA of Globicephala melas (long-finned pilot whale), 1559 nucleotides long. The record is from RefSeq and is a predicted model, not a curated record. Lineage: Eukaryota; Metazoa; Chordata; Mammalia; Artiodactyla; Delphinidae.